ACUCCUACGGGAGGCAGCAGUGGGGAAUAUUGCACAAUGGGGGAAACCCUGAUGCAGCCAUGCCGCGUGUGUGAAGAAGGCCUUCGGUUGUAAAGACACUUUCUAGUAGGAGGAAGGUAGUGUAGUUAACACCUGCAUUAUUUGUACGUUACCUACAGAAGAAGCACCGGCUAACUCCGUGCCAGCAGCCGCGGUAAGUACGGAGGGUGCGAGCGUUAAUCGGAAUUACUGGGCGUAAAGCGCAUGCAGGCGGCCUGUUAAGUCAGAUGUGAAAGCCCGGGGUCUUAACCUCGGAAUUGCAUUUGAAACUGGCAGGCUAGAGUCUUGUAGAGGGGUUAGAAUUUCAGGUGUAGCGGUGAAAUGCGUAGAGAUCUGAAGGAAUACCAGU
Molecule: ribosomal RNA, 388 nt
Filed under: uncultured bacterium
Lineage: Bacteria
Description: bacterial SSU rRNA
Rfam family: Bacterial small subunit ribosomal RNA
Source: RNAcentral